Artibeus jamaicensis (Jamaican fruit-eating bat) is the source of this 3843-nucleotide long non-coding RNA. RefSeq lists it as uncharacterized. The record is from RefSeq and is a predicted model, not a curated record. NCBI's taxonomy places the organism in Eukaryota, Metazoa, Chordata, Mammalia, Chiroptera, Phyllostomidae. The transcript is spliced from 7 exons.
AGCCAGAGAGGCAAAACAGUCGUGACUGUGCGGGAGUGAUCUCUGUUUGCAUGACGUUGUUUGGAUGGUAGCAAAGAGGCACAGAAUUAGAGGAGACAGAAUUUGUACACAACUUAUUUUCAGGUGAUAAAAGCACUAGGAGCAUCUCUUGUUUUAAUGAGGUGACUCUGAGUGGGAUGAAGGCUGGUUACCUGAAAGACCAAGUCAUGAUUAGAAGCUUGGACUUAUCAGCCCCAAUUACCACCGUCCAGAGAGCCCUCUGGCUCUGCUGGAUUCCAGUCGCCAACCAAGCCCAGGGCAGGCACUUCAAACAUAUCACAGACUUGUUUCUACCACAGGGGCUGGAAAUGACUGUUACUCCUGGAGAUAAGACUUCCCAUCACCCCUCCCACCUUUGUACUGCUCUCAACUGGAGCGUGGCUGAGGCCCAGUGUUCCUUAAACGUUGCCAUCAUGCCUCUGGGACAGGCUGCUCCGUAGUGGAUUGAGUUCCAGUUCAUCACAGAACCUCACUUCCUCCAGAAGAGCCAGACUGGUUGAAGGUUACUGUUCAAAGAUUUAAUUCUUCGGUCAUGGAGACCCGGGUGGAAGACAGGCCCAUAGGUGGACAUGGCUCCCUGCUACUCUGUGUCUCUCACAACCCUUUUAUAGAGCGGGGUGCUGAAUUGUUCUCCUGGAGGAGAGAAAGUUUUGUCCUUACAUCAUAUAAUUAACCGACUGUGUAGCAAACGCACAACUGGAUUCAGAACUGGCAUCUGUCAUGUAGAAAGAUACUAUGAAGUAUAACAGCAGAAAGCAGGGCUAUAUUUUAAUGGAGUCAAAUUCAGAUAUGCUUAGAGAGCUGUGACUUAAGGAGCCAAAUGACACUUGAAGGCAAAGAAGAUGGAAAACAAAAGAAUAAAUGGGUGGAAAAUUCCACAACUCAAAAUCCCAAGGCUCUCUCAAGGACAAGAUUGUUACUUGAGAAGGCUCUGUGGAAUUUUUGGCAUUCUUGCACUAUCUCACUUUGAAGAUGGAAUGGAAACCAUGGUUUGUAGCCAGCAUUGCUGUCCUCUGAACAAGACUCAGUUUGCUGGGACCUUGAGCAGCUGUGCCUUUGGGAAGUCUGGGGCAAACCGUCUUUCUGUGGGGCUCUUAACAAUGUUAAUCCAGGAAGAGACCCACUCUACUGGCAAAGCCUUUGAUGAGAAUUUUGGCUAGUGUAUAUUUUACUGCUAAUCCUAUGGAGUUUUGUUAAAAGUUCUUUUGCUGUAGAAGUUAUAAGGACUGCCCAAAGGUGGGCUUGCUGGAGGUGGGAUGGGCUGGGAGCUGGUGGUAAAGAUGUGUUCUUCUGCCCUUUCCUGCGUGCACAAUCGUUCCUGGGAUGAGCUGAGCACCAUGGUAGCGUGCAAAGUUGACAACUAUAACCUGACUUUUAUUAUUUUCUGCUGCGCAGUAAAUCUGAUAAUUUUCUAAGUGUCUAAAGUGUGUUUGAACCAAAACAAAUUAUUAAAGAAAACAUCUAAUAAAAUGUCAUCUCUUCUUGCAUGCAUAUAUAUUAAGAAGAAAUCAAAAAUAAAUAGAAGGAGGUCUAUUUGGGGGGGAUCUUUUAAAAAAUAUUCAUUCAAGCAUCUGGAAUUUCAGUUUUCUUCAGCUAAUUAGAGAUUUUGUGUAUGAUGCAAAAAAGAUUCAAUUUGAAGGACACUUAGGAGAUCCGUUAGCAUAAACACAUAACAAUGUGAAUAGCAUACAUAGCAGAAUUAUAAAUUAAUAGAGACAUUACUCUUUUAGUAUUUAUGAAUAUUUCUCAUUGGUUUACUAUUGUGAUUUUUAACACCUAGUCUAACUUAUAAAGUUGAGUUUGUUUUCAUGUUUUCCAAUAUAGAAAGGAUUCAAAAUACACUUGGUUGUUCCUGUAAGAAACUGAUGAACUGCACCACAGUCUCCUGCACGCAGGUCUAGAUUACAGGUUAAGGAUGCUAUAUUAAGGGUUGUUGCCCUGGCAUGAGAAAUCCUGCAGAUCCUUCAGGCCAGGUACUUUUGCACCACAUCCCACAGUGUGGGCCUGGAGCAGAGCAUCAAAGCGAGGCUUCAAGGUAAAAAGUAUUUUUCUUUAAAAAAAUGGUUGAGAAAUAUUUUUUCAUAAAGUUGUUUCUUCUUGAAAUAUGUACUUCUAACAAGAUGUAAUUAAAUUAUUUCCUUUUUACCUGAUAAGGCAUUCUAUAACUCAUAAAAUGAAAUAGUAGAGAAUGUAGCCUUUGAGAAAUUUGAGCCAAGAAGAAAAAUAUAUCAUCAGUGGUUUUUAUUAAUAUUUCUGCUGCAUUGGUUAGGAAGUUUCUUUGGCGAGAAGCCAUUGGAAAUGACUUAAAGUUGAGAAACUAUUUAAAUGGCCCUGAAUAUUCUUGUAGGAUCUAAGAAAGAGUUGAAUAGGUAGGCUUUGGGAAGGCGAGGCACCAUGGAAAUUUAGAGAUCAUGUCAAAUGACUCAGCUCUGGGGAUACUAGCAUCAGAUUCCCAAUUCUUGGGAGAAAAGCCCUCACUGGGCUAGUGUGGGUUGGUGUCCACCUUAGAUCAAAGAGUGAGGGAGGUGAGAGGGCCAGGCCUCACAGCACAGACCUGCCUUCUAGCAGGCCGGGCCCCAAGUAGGUCACACGUGUGAUGACCUGUAGCUGGGCAUCCAAAUGCCAUGAGAGGUGUGGCAUGUUUUAUGAAUACAUAUGUACACAUAUGUGUGUAGGUAUAUACACACAAUAAUAUAAAAUAAAUAAAUAUGCAAUAAAAAUUAGAUGGUUUCUUGUACACACUUCAUAGCUAUAGUUAGCAGAUUUGUAGGGAUUAUUAUUGCAAUACCAGAUAAUUAGUUUCAAGGAAUAUCAUUGUCAGUACCAUAGCCCAACCCUCUUGUUGACACUUACCACAAGAUCAUUGGGGUAGAAAUGUCAUGAAUGGGAAAUUGUACGUAACACAUAUUUAGUGAGUAAACGUACAAGCCCAAUGACCUGUGCCAUCAAAAUCUCGAUCUGCGCUUAAUCUGUGUUUGUUCUUCACCCACUGGUACUUAAGAGUCCUUGUUAACUCAUUCUCUGAUUUGAUUGAUCUUUCUCAAUGUCCUGUUCUGGACCAACAUGUAUAUAUUCAUCAUCACGAACUCAACAAUAAACUUAUCAUGGUUCUGACUCCCAGAGAGUUUAAACUCUAGGAGGUAAUUCAGUUCCGCGGGUUUGAGCUACAGUUGAGGGAAGUCAAGCACCCUAUGGAAGUCCAUUCCAGAAACACCAGUACAGAUGCAGAAUGCCAGGGAAGACUUCCUGGAAGAGUAAGCAGGAAAAAAUCAUCAGGAAGCUGAAGGAAUGUGGAGUUGGGAAGAAGAUAAUGGGAGAACAUUUGAGCCAGAAUGUGCAAAAUCUCAGAGGCAAUAUUGGGCAUUUUUCAUCUGGAGAAGUGCAACUAGACCAGAAUGAGUUAUGGAGACUCAAGUGGGGAGUUGCCAUCAUGUGAAGCAGGAAGGUAGGCAAAGGUCAGCGAAUUAAGGGUAUGGAGAAUAAUGCCGAGGACUUUAUUUCAAGGAUAAUGAGGUCUUAUUAAAGUGUUUUACGUGGGGGAUACAUGAUUAUAUUUUCAAAUUAUAAAAACUGGAGAUCGGACUGGACCAGGUAGACUGGAGGUGGGGACACUAGUCAGGAGAAUAACAGGAAUCUAAGAAGUGGAUUGAGCCAAAGUGGUGGUUGUGGUGAUGGAAAGACGUGGAUGAAGACAAGAGAUUCACAGGAUGUCUUGUUUGAUGGGAUAUGGGGUGUGGCGAAUGAAGAGUGAAGGUGAGAAUGAAAUCAGCUUCUGGCUUGGGCAACCCAGCAGACAACUGAGUC